RNAcentral lists this ribosomal RNA (458 nucleotides) under uncultured bacterium. RNAcentral's name for it is "partial 16S ribosomal RNA". It matches the Rfam family "Bacterial small subunit ribosomal RNA", at positions 338 to 795 of the family's 1533-position model. The record is from RNAcentral.
CCUACGGGAGGCAGCAGUGAGGAAUAUUGGUCAAUGGGCGAGAGCCUGAACCAGCCAAGUCGCGUGAGGGAGUACUGCCCUAUGGGUUGUAAACCUCUUUUGUCGGGGAGCAAAAUCCGGACGUGUCCGCCUUUGAGAGUACCCGAAGAAAAAGCAUCGGCAAACACCGUGCCAGCAGCCGCGGUAAUACGGGGGAUGCGAGCGUUAUCCGGAUUUUUUGGGUUUAAGGGGUGCGCAGGCGGGUUUUUAAGUCAGCGGGCAAAUCGUGGGGCUAAACCCCAUCCAGCCGUUGAAACUGGGGAUCUAGAGUGUGCGAGAGGUAUGCGGAAUGCGUGGUGUAGCGGUGAAAUGCAUAGAUAUCACGCAGAACCCCGAUUGCGAAGGCAGCCUACCAGUGCACAACUGACGCUCAGGCACGAAAGCGUGGGUAUCAAACAGGAUUAGAUACCCGAGUAGUC